ACCAGAGAAAUUUCAUGGCCACUUAAAAAAAUUCAUAAAAAACAUGAUGAAUAAAGAAUAUAAUUUUGUAUAAAACUAUUCAUUUUUAUUUUGUUUUUGCAGUGUCUUCUGUACUGUUACACAAACUUUUCUUUUCAAAUUAAUCACUUUUAAAUUAAAGCGAAUUUGUUGCUUUAUCUCCAACAAUUGAGAGCAUGUUCUUUGAAAAGGAGGAAAAACAAUUAAGUAGACGGUGAAAAGGUAAAUAAACUAAGUUAAAAGUAAAAGGAAAAUAAUUUUGUCUCUCCACUUUGGAAACAUUGUAAACUUUAUUACAGAACCCAUAAAAUUAAUUAAUUUUUCAAUCGUGGCCUUUGUUCAUACACGAUAAGAGGUUCUUUGUAUACUCGAAUCGUCGUGUUCUGAACAUAAAAUUGGUAUGCUGGUAAGUAUAUAUACCGACGCAGUCUAAUCCAGAAUUAUUGCGAACCUGAUAUACCUAUAAUUAGGUUUUGUGUUUUGGAAGCUAACCUUGACUCUUUUGAGCAAAUCAUAACCGGUAAUUCCUGGCAUACUAUAAUCUGUCAUGAUCAGGUUAACUUUUGAUACCUGAAAAAAUAUUUUUAUCAGAAACAGCCAAAUAGGUGUUGGAAACAGUAGGGAUUGAAAAUAAAUAGGUAUAUAUGUAAUAAGAAUUACUCUCCAACAAUUGAGAGCAUGUUCUUUGAAAAGGAGGAAAAACAAUUAAGUAGACGGUGAAAAGGUAAAUAAACUAAGUUAAAAGUAAAAGGAAAAUAAUUUUGUCUCUCCACUUUGGAAACAUUGUAAACUUUGUUACAGAACCCAUAAAAUUAAUUAAUUUUUCAAUCGUGGCCUUUGUUCAUACACGAUAAGAGGUUCUUUGUAUACUCGAAUCAUCGUGUUCUGAACAUAAAAUUGGUAUGCUGGUAAGUAUAUAUACCGACGC
RNAcentral lists this long non-coding RNA (946 nucleotides) under Olea europaea (common olive). Its description in RNAcentral is "long non-coding RNA (OEUR_LNC011449)". The record is from RNAcentral. Lineage: Eukaryota; Viridiplantae; Streptophyta; Magnoliopsida; Lamiales; Oleaceae.